Centruroides sculpturatus (bark scorpion) is the source of this 488-nucleotide long non-coding RNA. RefSeq lists it as uncharacterized. NCBI's taxonomy places the organism in Eukaryota, Metazoa, Arthropoda, Arachnida, Scorpiones, Buthidae. The record is from RefSeq and is a predicted model, not a curated record. The transcript has 5 exons.
AAGAAGGGAUUUUUCAAAAUUCCCCUGCGGGGGGAAGAGGGAGAGAAUUAACCUGAACGGCUUCUACUAUACCAUUUUAGAUGUGAUUUUUUGUUUUCAACUACGUUUAGUCUUCAUUGAGUACUUAGAUAAUUGCAUUUAUUUCACUUACAGCUAUUAUUAUUAUUUCAAAAAUACUGAAUUAUAGAGGUAAAAAUAAAAAGCAUUUCCGAAAAAGAGAUAUUAUUGCAUUUUAUUUGAGAUGGACAGUAAAAAAGGUAAAAUAUAUAGGAAAUUCUAUCUUUUAUGACACUUUUCAAAACUAUUCCAUUCCUUCUAUCUUCAGGAGAUUGCUAAAGAAACAAGAUCAAUUAUCUGCAGCAAAAAAAUAUGAAGAUGCUUCACUUUUGGUAUUUGAUGAAAGCAUUCCAGAUUUAGACGUUUCACUUUCUUCAGAAGAAGUUUCACUUCCUCCAGAGAUUCUAUAUAUGUUAAAUAGUAUCAGGUAA